Molecule: ribosomal RNA, 274 nt
Filed under: uncultured bacterium
Lineage: Bacteria
Description: partial 16S ribosomal RNA
Rfam family: Bacterial small subunit ribosomal RNA
Source: RNAcentral
CACGUAGGGGGCAAGCGUUGUCCGGAUUUAUUGGGCGUAAAGAGCUCGUAGGCGGUUCGAUAAGUCGGGUGUGAAACCUCCAGGCUCAACCUGGAGACGCCACCCGAUACUGUCGUGACUAGAGUCCAGUAGGGGAGCGUGGAAUUCCUGGUGUAGCGGUGAAAUGCGCAGAUAUCAGGAGGAACACCAGCGGCGAAGGCGGCGCUCUGGGCUGGAACUGACGCUGAGGAGCGAAAGCGUGGGGAGCGAACAGGAUUAGAAACCCCCGUAGUCC